UAGGGAAUCUUCGGCAAUGGGGGGAACCCUGACCGAGCAACGCCGCGUGAGUGAAGAAGGUUUUCGGAUCGUAAAGCUCUGUUGUUAAGGAAGAACGAGUGUGAGAAUGGAAAGUUCAUGCUGUGACGGUACUUAACCAGAAAGGGACGGCUAACUACGUGCCAGCAGCCGCGGUAAGACGUAGGUCCCGAGCGUUGUCCGGAUUUAUUGGGCGUAAAGCGAGCGCAGGGGGUUAGAAAAGUCUGAAGUGAAAGGCAGUGGCUCAACCAUUGUAGGCUUUGGAAACUGUUUGACUUGAGUGCAGAAGGGGAGAGUGGAAUUCCAUGUGUAGCGGUGAAAUGCGUAGAUAUAUGGAGGAACACCGGUGGCGAAAGCGGGUCUCUGGGCUGUAACUGACGCUGAGGCUCGAAAGCGUGGGGAGCGAACAGG
Molecule: ribosomal RNA, 429 nt
Filed under: Bacteroidota bacterium
Lineage: Bacteria; Pseudomonadati; Bacteroidota
Description: Bacteroidetes bacterium partial 16S ribosomal RNA
Rfam family: Bacterial small subunit ribosomal RNA
Source: RNAcentral